Molecule: ribosomal RNA, 442 nt
Filed under: uncultured bacterium
Lineage: Bacteria
Description: partial 16S ribosomal RNA
Rfam family: Bacterial small subunit ribosomal RNA
Source: RNAcentral
CCUACGGGUGGCAGCAGUGGGGAAUAUUGGGCAAUGGGCGGAAGCCUGACCCAGCAACGCCGCGUGAGGGAAGGAGGGUUUCGGCUUGUAAACCCCUUUCGGCAGGGAAGAGCAGAAGACGUUACCUGCCGAAUAAGCCCGGGCUAAAUACGUGCCAGCAGCCGCGGUAAUACGUAGGGGGCAGGCGUUGUCCGGUUUUACUGGGUGAAAAGGGGGUGUAGCCGGGCGGACAAGGCAGAAGUGAAAGCCGGGGGCUCAACCCCCGAACUGCAUUUGAAACUGUUGGGCUUGAGUAUCGGAGGGGCAGGCGGAAUUCCUGGUGUAGCGGUGAAAUGCGUAGAUAUUAGGAGGAACACCAGUGGCGAAGGCGGCCUGCUGGACGGCGACUGACGGUGAGGCGCGAAAGCGUGGGGAGCAAACAGGAUUAGAUACCCCAGUAGUC